GGCCUGCUAGCUCAGUCUGUUAGAGCGUCGUGCUAAUAACGCGAAGGUCGUAGGUUCGAUCCCUGCGCAGGCCA
Molecule: transfer RNA, 74 nt
Filed under: Rhipicephalus sanguineus (brown dog tick)
Lineage: Eukaryota; Metazoa; Arthropoda; Arachnida; Ixodida; Ixodidae
Description: transfer RNA isoleucine (anticodon AAU)
Rfam family: tRNA
About the family: Transfer RNA (tRNA) molecules are approximately 80 nucleotides in length.
Source: Rfam by way of RNAcentral